RNAcentral lists this long non-coding RNA (462 nucleotides) under Medicago truncatula (barrel medic). Its description in RNAcentral is "long non-coding RNA (MTRU_LNC005936)". Lineage: Eukaryota; Viridiplantae; Streptophyta; Magnoliopsida; Fabales; Fabaceae. The record is from RNAcentral.
CUACAGCAGCAGCUACAGCUACAACAACAAUAUCAGAGGCUGCAACAACAGCUGGCUUCAUCUGCUCAACUGCAACAAAACUCUUUGACCCUCAACCAACAGCAAUUGCCCUUGUUGAUGCAGCAGCCGAAAUCCAUGGGGCAACCUCUGCUUCAGCAGCAGCAGCAACAACUUCUACAGCAGCAGCUACAGUUACAACAACAAUAUCAGAGGUUGCAACAACAGCUAGCUUCAUCUGCUCAACUGCAACAAAACUCUUCGACCCUGAACCAAUUGCCCCAGUUGAUGCAGCAGCAGAAAUCCAUGGGGCAACCUCUGCUUCAGCAGCAGCUACAACAACAACAACUUCUACUGCAGCAGCAACAACUAGUUCUACAACAGCAGCAGCAGCAACAGCAACAACAACGAACUCAACUUCUGCAGCAGCAGAUGCAGGCUCUGAGGAUUCCAGGACCUGCAGGU